UCUACAUAUUUUAAUUUUAUCAAUUAAACCUUAAACUUUUUCAUAAUUUGCCAAUUAAGUUCAUUUGAUCAAUUUUGGUCAAAAUUCGCUGAUAUGAUCAUGGCCAUCCUACAUAGCAUAGCUGAUGUUUAUGAGGACAAUUUUUAAUAAUAUUUUAAUAUUUUUUCGAAUUUUUUUAUUAAUUUUAAAAUGUUAUUUUCCUUUUUUUCUUUGCUUUUCUUUUUCUAUACUUUUUCUUUUCUUUUGCCAGCAGGUGACCUCACAGAUUCUCAGCCCUGCCGUUCGCAGGCAAGGGUCACGACGUCGUGAGUAGAGCUAGAGCUCAUGCAGUCAUGAGCUUGAAGCUCAAGUGUCCGUGGCCACGAGCUCCAGAUCUCGUAUCCAUGCCUUAAGCUCUCACGAUCACUGCCACAAGCUUGAAAGCUCGAGCAGCAGGUGAGGCGAGUUGAGGAUCGCAGCGUCAUGAGUACUCGAGCUCAAGCGGCCAUGGCCAAGAGCUCGAGAUCCGGCAGUCGAGUGGCCAGCCACAGCCGUCGUUGUCUUUGCCGUCACAGCAUUAGAGAUUCGCGAAAAACAAAGGCCUCUUUUUAGGUCGAUAAAUAGAGAGUUCAAAAUGGAAAAUUUUCCACUGUUGCAGUUCUUUUGGCUUCGCGUACUUCGAGUAACGUUAUCAGUUGAGGGAUUUCGUUAGUGGAGCGAGCGAUGGCGGAAGCAAUGAAACAUUGCGUGAUGACGGUGACACUAGGAUCUUUUAGAGAGCGAGUGCUCUCCCCCCAGAAAGCAUGUACUUUCCAUCGAGUCUUUUCGUCUGUUCAUCUACAUCUUUUUGUGUAGCAAGAAGGCAUCUUCUCUUCAUUAAUCAUCAUGGAUUCGUAAUCUUUCAAAGAGCACAUGCUCUCCACCCAUAAUGCAUGUGCUGUCCAUCGAAGAUUGGCCUUGGCAAGACAGCACGCAUCUAGAGAUAAAGGUUAGCCAUUUUUUUUCUGUCCACGACGGACGCAACCCAAUUAUAUCGUCGGGACUUAGAGGGCAUGAUCAAACAAGAAGGUUGCUCAGUCAACAACCCACUGACAUUGGCUGAACGAGAAGAAAUGCAUUGCACUGCUCUAAAGUCACAUUAACUUUUAACGUCGGAUUAAUCAAUAGACACUUGCCUAGGAAGACUUGUUCAUUAGACAGUGUAUCUGGGAAUUGUUUAGAAACCAUGUGCCCUCCCCUAGAAAGCAUGUUCUCUCCAUCCAACCAUUUCAUUUGUUUAUCUUAGAUCUUUUUGUACAGCAGAGGAACGCAUUCAUUAAACAUUUUGUAUUCGGAAUCAUGUGCACUUCACCUAGAAAUCACGUACUCCCCAUCAUAGACAAUGGUGAUGCAACGAAUCUGAUUAGUACAAAGAACAAACAAGAAGGUUGCUUCCGGCAAUGUUUUUCUUAAUUACCUUGGGUGAAAGCAAAUGUUCCUCCUUUCUUUUUGUCUUUCAUUUAUCUACAAUUAAGGAAAAAUGACGAGUUCAAUUUGAUAACAUCAUAAUGAAAAAUUCACAAGGAGGUUAGAGCCACAUUUACCUAUUUAACAAUAUGACCUUUGCUUUUGGGGAAGCGCGUGUGUGUGCAAGUGUG
RNAcentral lists this long non-coding RNA (1616 nucleotides) under Eucalyptus grandis. RNAcentral's name for it is "long non-coding RNA (EGRA_LNC006931)". The record is from RNAcentral. Lineage: Eukaryota; Viridiplantae; Streptophyta; Magnoliopsida; Myrtales; Myrtaceae.